RNAcentral lists this long non-coding RNA (1000 nucleotides) under Coturnix japonica (Japanese quail). Its description in RNAcentral is "lncRNA (ENSCJPG00005015153.1)". The record is from RNAcentral. Lineage: Eukaryota; Metazoa; Chordata; Aves; Galliformes; Phasianidae.
CCUGUGGUGAGGGGCUGCAUGGUGGGUUGGGGGAGGGGGAAAGAGCAGCCCCAUGCAGCCCCAUGCAGCCCCAUGCAGCCCCAUGCAGCCCCAUGCAGCCCCAUGCAGCCCCAUGCAGCCCCAUGCAGCCCCAUGCAGCCCCAUGCAGCCCUGUAAGUUUAAGGAUGGUUGUGUCUGUGUUGUCUGGGAGGAAAUGUGAAUAACUAAGUAUAAUUAAUGUGUUUUUGUGUUUUUUUUUUCUUAAUUAAUUAUUUUUCAGGUGCAAUUCAUAGGCUAUCACUGCAGUGCUGGAGUUGUGAGAGCCCAGUUGUAAGGCAUGGAAAUGGUGGCAGGCCUGAAGUUUGUGCAUCUGUGGUGCAGCUGGAUUCCUUAAUGGAGUUAUGAAGCUUUGAACUGUGCUGGCUUGGAAUGGGAAUUAAUGUCAAAGAUGCCCCUGAAGUCCAAAGCUGGAAUUCAGAUGAAAGACUUCUACAGAACGUUUUGGGUACUGUCAUCUUUGUAGAUACAAAGAACUUAUAUACAGCAGAUAUUAAAGAACACAAGCUACUCUGGAUUUAUAAGGGAAGAGGAUCUCCUCCCUUCCCUUCUGUUCGUCCUGCUGGCCUACUGGAUUAGUUUGGACUAAAUUAAAUAGGCUCAAAGAGCCAAAAGAAAGAAGCAAAUCAAUAUAGAAUAAGAAAUUAAAAAUCCCUUCAUUGAAUUUAUUUUAAUCUGCAAAGUUGUAAAGUGCUUAAAUUGCAGAUCCCACACUCGGAAGAAAUCCAAGGGGAUUCUCAGUAUGAAUUUUGAAUGCAGCACUCAGGUUUGUGGUUUUAGUGCAUAUGAAAUGAAGUUUCUCUUGUUCCCAGCGGCCAACUAACUAGAUUUGUACUUGAGGGUGGGUGUACAUCAUAUGUUUUUGCGCAGUAUCAAUGCUUUGGUGACAAUGAAGCCCUUUAGGUUCUGUGAAAUCUCUCUCCCUCAAAAUAAACAGCUGCUUUUGCUGGACCUGUUUCCCCCC